This 104-nucleotide small nucleolar RNA is filed under the name Gossypium barbadense (sea-island cotton). Its description in RNAcentral is "Plant small nucleolar RNA R71". It matches the Rfam family "Plant small nucleolar RNA R71". From Rfam's summary of the family: R71 is a member of the C/D box family of snoRNAs containing the C (UGAUGA) and D (CUGA) box motifs. Multiple nearly identical copies of this snoRNA have been identified in Arabidopsis, and it is thought to function as a 2'-O-ribose methylation guide for 18S ribosomal RNA. Lineage: Eukaryota; Viridiplantae; Streptophyta; Magnoliopsida; Malvales; Malvaceae. RNAcentral also lists the same sequence under 2 other names. The record is from Rfam by way of RNAcentral.
AUUUUAUGAUGAGGAUGCUUAUGAAACAAUUCCUUGAAUCUCUCCCACGCCUCGUAUAAGGACUCAUCAUCCAAUUGUUGAAAAGUAGUUAUAUCAUUGCAACU